CUGCGAGUGAAGCGGGAAAAGCUCAGACUGAAAAUCUUCGGAAUUGUAGUCUGGAGAAGUAUGGUCAGCCGAUGAUGAUGAGUGAAGUCUUCUGGAAAGGAGCGCCUUGGAGGGUGAUAGCCCCGUUCAUACUUAUCAUUAGAAGCGUACGACCUGCUUUCUACGAGUCGUGUUGUUUGGGACUGCAGCACUAAGUGGGUGGUAAAUUCCAUCUAAAGCUAAAUAUUGGUGGGAGACCGAUAGCGAACAAGUACCGUGAGGGAAAGAUGCAAAGAACUUUGAAAAGAGAGUUAAGUAGUACCUGAAAUUGCUGAAAUGGAACCGAUGGGAAGCAGUGUCGGUGGCGGGUAUUUAUACCUGUCACAAGCCAGGCUUCUUUUCUGGUGCGGGAAAGGCUGAUAAACUAGUUUAGGUUAUCUACGCCGUCGUGCUAGCGAAG
RNAcentral lists this ribosomal RNA (439 nucleotides) under uncultured Spumella. RNAcentral's name for it is "eukaryotic LSU rRNA". It matches the Rfam family "Eukaryotic large subunit ribosomal RNA", at positions 87 to 504 of the family's 3401-position model. The record is from RNAcentral. Lineage: Eukaryota; Synurophyceae; Ochromonadales; Ochromonadaceae.